Molecule: transfer RNA, 76 nt
Filed under: Deltaproteobacteria bacterium
Lineage: Bacteria; Pseudomonadati; Myxococcota; Myxococcia
Description: tRNA-Glu
Rfam family: tRNA
About the family: Transfer RNA (tRNA) molecules are approximately 80 nucleotides in length.
Source: RNAcentral
GGUCCCAUCGUCUAGUGGCCUAGGACACCGCCCUCUCACGGCGAAAACAGGGGUUCGAGUCCCCUUGGGACUACCA